RNAcentral lists this ribosomal RNA (253 nucleotides) under uncultured bacterium. RNAcentral's name for it is "partial 16S ribosomal RNA". It matches the Rfam family "Bacterial small subunit ribosomal RNA", at positions 524 to 776 of the family's 1533-position model. The record is from RNAcentral.
UACAGAGGUCCCAAGCGUUACUGAGAAUCACUGGGUUUAAAGGGUGCGUAGGUGGUCCGUUAAGUCAGGGGUGAAAGACGGUAGCUUAACUAUCGCAGUGCCUUUGAUACUGAUGGGCUUGAAUGUACUUGAGGUAGGCGGAAUGUGACAAGUAGCGGUGAAAUGCAUAGAUAUGUCACAGAACACCAAUUGCGAAGGCAGCUUACUAAAGUAUGAUUGACGCUGAGGCACGAAAGCGUGGGGAUCAAACAGG